UUCCAGCUCCAGAAGCGUAUGCUAAUGUUGUUGCAGUUAAAAAGCUCGUAGUUGAAUCUCUGGUUAGCCUGACCGAGCCUUUGGAUGAAUGUCCACUGUUUGCUUGUUUGUCGGGCGCGCCAUCUUGGCAAUGCUUUAGGGUGUUGCCUCGUUCACUGUAAAGAAAGCAGAGUGUUCAAAGCAGGUCGUAGAUCUGAAUGUUUAUUAUGGGAUGAUAAGAUAGGGCUUGUGCGCUAUUUUGUUGGUUUGCACGCGCAAGUAAUGAUUGAUGGGAACAGUUGGGGCUAUUCGUAUUUGGCUGCUAGAGGUGAAAUUCUUGGAUUUGCAAAAGACGAACUACGGCGAAGGCAUUUAGCAAAGAUGUUUUCAUCA
RNAcentral lists this ribosomal RNA (372 nucleotides) under Thraustochytrium sp. Its description in RNAcentral is "partial small subunit ribosomal RNA". It matches the Rfam family "Eukaryotic small subunit ribosomal RNA", at positions 583 to 975 of the family's 1831-position model. The record is from RNAcentral. Lineage: Eukaryota; Bigyra; Thraustochytrida; Thraustochytriidae.